This 485-nucleotide ribosomal RNA is filed under the name uncultured bacterium. RNAcentral describes it as "partial 16S ribosomal RNA". It matches the Rfam family "Bacterial small subunit ribosomal RNA", at positions 355 to 824 of the family's 1533-position model. The record is from RNAcentral.
UGGGGAAUUUUGGACAAUGGGCGAAAGCCUGAUCCAGCAAUGCCGCGUGUGUGAAGAAGGCCUUCGGGUUGUAAAGCACUUUUUGUCCGGGAAAGAAAAUCCUUGGCUCUAAUACAGUCGGGGGAUGACGGUACCGGAAGAAUAAGCACCGGCUAACUACGUGCCAGCAGCCGCGGUAAUACGUAGGGUGCAAGCGUUAAUCGGAAUUACUGGGCGUAAAGCGUGCGCAGGCGGUUUGCUAAGACCGAUGUGAAAUCCCCGGGCUCAACCUGGGAACUGCAUUGGUGACUGGCAGGCUAGAGUAUGGCAGAGGGGGGUAGAAUUCCACGUGUAGCAGUGAAAUGCGUAGAGAUGUGGAGGAAUACCGAUGGCGAAGGCAGCCCCCCUGGGCCAAUACUGACGCUCAUGCACGAAAAGGCGUGGGGGAGCAAACAGGAUUAGAUACCCCUGGUAGUCCACGCCCUAAACGAUGUCAACUAGUUGUU